RNAcentral lists this ribosomal RNA (252 nucleotides) under uncultured bacterium. Its description in RNAcentral is "partial 16S ribosomal RNA". It matches the Rfam family "Bacterial small subunit ribosomal RNA", at positions 524 to 775 of the family's 1533-position model. The record is from RNAcentral.
UACGGAGGGUGCAAGCGUUACUCGGAAUUAUUGGGCGUAAAGGGUAGGUAGGUGGUCUUAUUUGUCCGGUGUGAAAUCCUUGGGCUUAACCUGAGAAGUGCAUUGGAAACGGUAAGACUAGAGUCCUGGAGAGGGUCGUGGAAUUCCCGGUGUAGCGGUGAAAUGCGUAGAGAUCGGGAGGAACACCAGAGGCGAAGGCGGCGACCUGGACAGGAACUGACACUCAACUACGAAAGCGUGGGGAGCAAACAG